This is a long non-coding RNA of Limulus polyphemus (Atlantic horseshoe crab), 105 nucleotides long. RefSeq lists it as uncharacterized. The transcript is spliced from 3 exons. Lineage: Eukaryota; Metazoa; Arthropoda; Merostomata; Xiphosura; Limulidae. The record is from RefSeq and is a predicted model, not a curated record.
UCUGCAGCCAUUGUAAGUUGAUACAGUGCCUCUAGCUCUUGUUGAGAUUAAUAGACGGCGAUAGUUCACGGACCAUCGUACACGUGUUGCGCAAGCUUUGUUUUA